Molecule: non-coding RNA, 125 nt
Organism: Brassica napus (rape)
Lineage: Eukaryota; Viridiplantae; Streptophyta; Magnoliopsida; Brassicales; Brassicaceae
Source: Rfam
GGGAUAUAAGAAUCUGUCUCUUAACUUUUAACUAAAAAAAUCUAAGAACCGGUUCUUAAAUAAGAGUUUUAAGAGCAGGUUCUUAACUUUUUAGUUAAAAGUAAAGAGACGGGUUCUUAUAUUCC